This 253-nucleotide ribosomal RNA is filed under the name uncultured Dysgonomonas sp. RNAcentral's name for it is "partial 16S ribosomal RNA". It matches the Rfam family "Bacterial small subunit ribosomal RNA", at positions 524 to 776 of the family's 1533-position model. Lineage: Bacteria; Pseudomonadati; Bacteroidota; Bacteroidia; Bacteroidales; Dysgonomonadaceae. The record is from RNAcentral.
UACGGAGGAUGCGAGCGUUAUCCGGAUUUAUUGGGUUUAAAGGGUGCGCAGGCGGGAUCUUAAGUCAGCGGUGAAAUCUCCAGGCUCAACCUGGAACCUGCCGUUGAAACUGGGAUUCUUGAGUGUAGAUGAAGUAGGCGGAAUUCGUUGUGUAGCGGUGAAAUGCAUAGAUAUAACGAGGAACCCCAAUUGCGUAGGCAGCUUACUAAACUAUAACUGACGCUCAUGCACGAAAGCGUGGGUAUCCAACAGG